This 744-nucleotide ribosomal RNA is filed under the name uncultured bacterium. RNAcentral describes it as "bacterial SSU rRNA". It matches the Rfam family "Bacterial small subunit ribosomal RNA", at positions 34 to 760 of the family's 1533-position model. The record is from RNAcentral.
CGCUGGCGGCGUGCCUAAUACAUGCAAGUCGAGCGAACGGACGAGAAGCUUGCUUCUCUGAUGUUAGCGGCGGACGGGUGAGUAACACGUGGAUAACCUACCUAUAAGACUGGGAUAACUUCGGGAAACCGGAGCUAAUACCGGAUAAUAUUUUGAACCGCAUGGUUCAAAAGUGAAAGACGGUCUUGCUGUCACUUAUAGAUGGAUCCGCGCUGCAUUAGCUAGUUGGUAAGGUAACGGCUUACCAAGGCAGCGAUGCAUAGCCGACCUGAGAGGGUGAUCGGCCACACUGGAACUGAGACACGGUCCAGACUCCUACGGGAGGCAGCAGUAGGGAAUCUUCCGCAAUGGGCGAAAGCCUGACGGAGCAACGCCGCGUGAGUGAUGAAGGUCUUCGGAUCGUAAAACUCUGUUAUUAGGGAAGAACAUAUGUGUAAGUAACUGUGCACAUCUUGACGGUACCUAAUCAGAAAGCCGCGGCUAACUACGUGCCAGCAGCCGCGGUAAUACGUAGGUGGCAAGCGUUAUCCGGAAUUAUUGGGCGUAAAGCGCGCGUAGGCGGUUUUUUAAGUCUGAUGUGAAAGCCCACGGCUCAACCGUGGAGGGUCAUUGGAAACUGGAAAACUUGAGUGCAGAAGAGGAAAGUGGAAUUCCAUGUGUAGCGGUGAAAUGCGCAGAGAUAUGGAGGAACACCAGUGGCGAAGGCGACUUUCUGGUCUGUAACUGACGCUGAUGUGCGAAAGC